GCAUAUCAAUAAGCGGAGGAAAAGAAACCAACAGGGAUUGCCCCAGUAACGGCGAGUGAAGCGGCAACAGCUCAAAUUUGAAAUCUGGCUCUCGGGCCCGAGUUGUAAUUUGUAGAGGAUGCUUUUGGUGAGGUGCCUUCCGAGUUCCCUGGAACGGGACGCCAUAGAGGGUGAGAGCCCCGUCUGGUUGGACRCCGAWCCUCUGUAAAGCUCCUUCGACGAGUCGAGUAGUUUGGGAAUGCUGCUCUAAAUGGGAGGUAUAUGUCUUCUAAAGCUAAAUACCGGCCAGAGACCGAUAGCGCACAAGUAGAGUGAUCGAAAGAUGAAAAGAACUUUGAAAAGAGAGUUAAACAGUACGUGAAAUUGUUGAAAGGGAAGCGCUUGUGACCAGACUUGGGCUUGGUUGAUCAUCCGGGGUUCUCCCCGGUGCACUCUUCCGGCYCAGGCCAGCAUCAGUUCGCCCUGGGGGAUAAAGGCWUCGGGAAYGUGGCUCUCUCCGGGGAGUGUUAUAGCCCGYUGCGUAAUACCCUGYGGCGGACUGAGGUUCGCGCAUUCGCAAGGAUGCUGGCGUAAUGGUCAUCAGUGACCCGUCUUGAAACACGGACC
This 606-nucleotide ribosomal RNA is filed under the name Fusarium sp. K5427-2-1. Its description in RNAcentral is "eukaryotic LSU rRNA". It matches the Rfam family "Eukaryotic large subunit ribosomal RNA", at positions 38 to 667 of the family's 3401-position model. Lineage: Eukaryota; Fungi; Ascomycota; Sordariomycetes; Hypocreales; Nectriaceae. The record is from RNAcentral.